CACUUUGCCGGGCACAGGCCAGCAUCAGUUUGGCUUGGGGGAAAAAGGCUUUGGGAACGUAGCUCCUCGGAGUGUUAUAGACCAUUGCAUAAUACCCUGGGCCGGACUGAGGUUCGCGCAUCUGCAAGGAUGCUGGCGUAAUGGUCAUCAGCGA
This 154-nucleotide ribosomal RNA is filed under the name Leptobacillium leptobactrum var. calidius. Its description in RNAcentral is "partial large subunit ribosomal RNA". The record is from RNAcentral. Lineage: Eukaryota; Fungi; Ascomycota; Sordariomycetes; Hypocreales; Cordycipitaceae.